RNAcentral lists this transfer RNA (86 nucleotides) under Mesorhizobium sangaii. RNAcentral's name for it is "tRNA-Ser". The record is from RNAcentral. Lineage: Bacteria; Pseudomonadati; Pseudomonadota; Alphaproteobacteria; Hyphomicrobiales; Phyllobacteriaceae.
CGGGUCGGCCAGGGAAUGGCUAUAAAACCUAGUAUUUGAAACUGGGGGUCAAGGGGUCGUCGGUUCGAAUCCGGCCACUCCGACCA